Molecule: ribosomal RNA, 253 nt
Filed under: uncultured bacterium
Lineage: Bacteria
Description: partial 16S ribosomal RNA
Rfam family: Bacterial small subunit ribosomal RNA
Source: RNAcentral
UACGUAGGUGGCAAGCGUUGUCCGGAUUUACUGGGUUUAAAGCGUCCGCAGGUGGCAGUUCAAGUCUGCUGUCAAAGACCGGGGCUUAACUUCGGAAAGGCAGUGGAAACUGAACAGCUAGAGUAUGGUAGGGGCAGAGGGAAUUCCUGGUGUAGCGGUGAAAUGCGUAGAGAUCAGGAAGAACAUCGGUGGCGAAGGCGCUCUGCUGGACCAUAACUGACACUCAGGGACGAAAGCUAGGGGAGCGAAUGGG